Long non-coding RNA from Pezoporus occidentalis (night parrot), 5247 nucleotides. RefSeq lists it as uncharacterized. Lineage: Eukaryota; Metazoa; Chordata; Aves; Psittaciformes; Psittacidae. The transcript has 2 exons. The record is from RefSeq and is a predicted model, not a curated record.
UGCACCUUGCUGACAGGUGUUGGUGCUGCUGCAGUGAUGUUUGGCAUCAGCCCAACGAGUUGGCUGCAGCAGUGCAGGGACAGUAAGGUUGCUGGGGUAGGUGACACAUUGUGCCCUGCAUGCUGCCGAGUUUGCCAGCUACCCCAAAGCUGUCCAGGGGUCAGCCAGGGGCCUUUGUGACUUGCACAUUCACUUGCCCUCCAUGCUCCUUAUGGGCAGAGUCACCCUGCAAGGGGCAGCAGCUGCUGUGCUGCCUCUUGGGAGCAAUCUCAUUAAGAAUAAUUAACACUGCUAUAGCGCUUCAUCUGUCUAAACGGCCUAAUUGCCGUGCAGCUGCUCAGGGUGUCAGCAAGACAGAAAAGCCCCAGUAGGUCACAACCAGUGUGCCCAAGGGUGUUGCCAGCCCCACCUUUGUGCAUAUGCUGCUGUUUUCAAAGACCGCCAGCAGCUGCUCAGGGAGCUUCCUGCUUCACUGAAGGAAACCCACACGUCUUGCAAGGCCCCUUCCCUUAGGCUGCCAGUUAGAUUUCUUCAAGCUGCUGGAGGGGCAAGCAGGGUUUGCAAGGCUAGCACAGCUCCUUAGUGUGUCGCUGAGGCAAAGGUGACCCAGUCUGGGUUUGAACUGGGAAACCCAAGUUGAACACAGGUUGCUAAACUCAUAGGUAAGUCAGAGUGACAGAGGGCAGCACCAAAGAUCAGAGGCUAGAUUAGAGAAGCUAACUGUCACUGAAGCUUUUCUUCCUUUUCAUCUCGCUGAUACUUGCAUCUUUCUUACAACCUUGACAGAGCUGGAGACACUACUGCCUUGUCAUCAUUGUUUAGAGACUUUUAAUUGAUACUGAACACACUGAUCAAGUUUCCUGCCAUGGGACAAUGAAUCCAAAGGCAGCAGCAAAGGGCCACCAUGGCAAGCACACAUGCACGUGCACUGUCUGCCACUGCAGCUGGACUUUGCAAUGCAGCAGUGCUCUGGCUCAGCCACACACACAACACAAAUGUGAGGACAUGGGCUCCUCAGUGUGACAGCAGUGAAAGGGAGGAAGGCUGGCCGAAGCAUCAAAAUCUCUCUAGAGAUAUGUGUCAUCUCUAUGGAGAGUGCAACACAAAUACUGUGAAUUUCAUACAUGUACAGUAAAUGCUAUUUAUCAUGCACAAUUUAGAAAGUAUUACAACAGUUGGGAAAAUAUUAUGUCUAGCAAGAAAGCUGUUUAAGAAGCUGUUUAGAAAGAAUGCACUAAUUAGAGUAUAUUAAAAGGUUGUAUUUCCAAGAAGCCUACUAAGAAAGGAUUGUUCUUGCUGCAUUUGCUUUUUGCAUUCAAGAGAUCAGACAAAGAAGUUCAGAGCAGGUCAUCACAGUGGCCUGAGCUAGCCACAGAGCUUGAUUCUGAAAUGUAGGGAGGGAGAAGCAUGUUGCCAAGUCAGUCUGGCAACUUCUCCCAGCCAGGUAGCAUCUCUGGAAAAUUUCCAUGCACCAUCCAGGAGAAGUGAGUGGGACCUGUUUCCUGCCAAGUUGCAAAGAUAAUUUUUGAGACUGGAAGUAUCAAGAGCUGGAGCUUGGAGAGAAAUAUCCUCCAGUCUUUCUGUUUAAUGUCCUUCCAGGUGGGGGAAAAAGUAAUCACAGCCCAUCAGAGUUUGCAGAUUCCAGUGGUGCUAGAAGCACCUGGCAAUGAGCCAAGCUUCAGAUCCAAGUGGGUGCUCUGGUUUUGGGUACUGAUGUAGCUGAACGGCAAAGAGAAUCCCAAAACUGUGCCCUCCUGCCACCUGACUUCUGUAAGGUGAGGAGACUUAACAGCACUACAUAACUAAAUGUACACAGAGCAAUUGGGGAAAUAAAGAUCAAAGCCUGCCCCACUUCCCUCCUCUUUGCUGAAAGCAGCUCAGAAUCAGUAGCUGACUGCAAAAAAUACCAGUGCAGGAUUAAUUUCCCUGCAAUUCACCAGUGAGCUGGUGUCGAUGGCAUUGAUAAACUGUUAAUUACGAAAUCAAUAGCUAUGAAUUUUUACAGCUGGUGGAGCACUGAGGUGGAAGGAGGUUGCCCAACUAUGUCCCUGAGGGUCAGCUGGCCUAAAAGUUAGGCUUCAUGUCAGGAGCCCCUCUCCAACACUGCUGACAUGGGGUACAGGGCAGGUGUGAGAUGGACAAGGCUCACUGCCUCCUCACCUAACUCUUUUUCUUGCAGCUUCUGGCUGGAGCAGGAGGAGCCAGGAUGUUGCAGGACCUGUUAGUACAGAAUUUGCUACAUAUCCCCUUGCUAGAUGCAGAUCUUGUUCCCUCCAUCUCAGAAUUUAAAUACAUGGGGAAAAAAAAGGGAAAUAACAUUUGGCCGGUAUGGGAUUUCCUUAAAUGAACAUGUGCUGUAUGCUAACCUGGAGGCUCUUCAAUACACAGGUUGAUCAAUUUGUUUCAUGAAGAAAAAGGACCUUGGAAUGCCUAGGAAGGGACUGCUGGCUCUGAAGGGUAACAGUUUAUAUAGCACCCCUACUCUGUCAAAAAUUGUGUGAUCAUAUUGUUGGGACUUGCCUGCUUGUCUGGGCAUUAACAAUUCAUUUCUCAGCUCUCUAAAAUGCACUUACUAAAGACAGAGGUCAUCUGAAUUAUCUUUGCGUGUCCCAGCAGGUGUGUCCUUGGUGCAUUACACUGAGGACUCGGAGAUCAGCCACAGCUCUGGCAAGGUCAGCCUAUUGUCAGCUUCUCCUCUAGCAAAGAGCAAGUAAGCUCCCACUUCUGUUUUCAUUUGUUUUAAUUCCUAGAAACAAAGGGUCAAUACACACAGGGCUGCAUGGAAGAGAGGAAAGUCCCUAGAAGCAUAAGCAAUUACACCCACCAGGGAUAAGGGAAAUUCAGGAAUUUAUAUAGGAGGCAAGACAGAAAGGAGGUCUAGGCAGCACAGGUGCUAAUGUAAGUGAUCAGCUUUAAACUGUGUCUCUGACCCAAGGGAGCCGAGAGGUAGUCUGCAUUCCAUUCCUACUGUUUUAGGAAUUAGCUGUUUGCAUGCAAGCACAUACAUGCAGGCUCUGCAAGUGUACUCCAUGUCAAAAACAUGGUAAAAAAAUAACUUAUUUUAAAAGAAUGUGAAGGCUGAAUGUGACAGCUACAUUAGAAAAAUACACUUGCUCUAUUCUAGCUCCCUUAUGUGUGUGUUGUGAGAGGCUUUAAUUACGUGAAAAAUGAGAUCUUGUGCUUUACUUUCAUAUGUUUCAAUACAAAUAACAAAGCAGGAACAAAGCAGGAUUUUUGUGGAUUAUACUCCUACACAGAUGCACUAGGAGAAUCCAGUCAAGUCAGAAUGGCUUUUCUCAUCCAGUUGAGAACAUGCAUUGUCCUGUGCCUCCUAACCAUUACCUUGGCUACUUUACUUCCACAGUGCUGGAAGGAGAACCCCAAACCACUUGACAAAUGUUGGUUGUUCUGGUCUGUCAUUGCUUAGUGUUUCUCCACUCCCAAUACAGACUGUCCUUUAAGGUUUACCCUAGGUUUAAUCCUGAAAGCACAGUGAGCAACAUCAGCAGACAGUGCUACUAUUGCACUGUGAAGGACAUGACAGUACCAAGGCUCAGGUUCUGCAGCAUCUCUGCCCUUAGCAUGGGCCAGAUAAAUGCCCUGGUGUGGCACUUACUUACCCUGUCAUCCUGUCACAACCACUACCUUAGCACUUCAGCCUCUCUGAGGAGUCCUUCUCCCUGUUUAAUUCUGUGACCUUCCUGUUAGACAGGAGGCAGAUCCUUUAACAAGAGUUGAUUACAUCACCACAAGCUACCAUCCCACAAAGAGAGGCCAGCCUUGGCCAUCUGCCCAUCCUGGUUCAGUGGCAAAGUGAAGGCAGCAAUUAGAGCUAAAAAAGCAAUAUAUAAGAAACUGAAAAAGGGAACUAGAUAGCAAUUCAUAUGGAUCAGAAUUUAUGAAGUAUAGAAAAUCGAUAAGGGAAGUGAAGGACAUUGGAGGAAAAUCCAUGGCUGGAGGGCUAAGGACAAUAAAGAAGUUUUAUAAAUACUUAAGAAAUAGAAGAAAAAUGACCAUUUGUAGGGUGGCUCCUUUCACCUGGAGAUGAUUAAACCGUUAACAGCAGUGCAAAGGAGACAGAAGUCCUCAGUGAGGAUGUCUGUCCCAUUUAGAAAAAAAGCAGCAUUAUGUAGCAAUGCUAUAUGAAAAUGAUUAAGACUUGUUAGUCUGUCCUAUAUACAAGAAGAUUUAGACAUCUGCUAGGUACAAACUUCACAGAAAUCAGCAGAGCUGGAUAACUUGGCUUGAAGAGUUCUAAACUUGCUGGCUGAGGCCCAGAUAGGGCAGAUUAAUGAUUUACAAGUUUUGGUAUUUUCAAGCAAUUCAAGAUGACUGGAAAAGUUCUAAUGAUGUACAUAUUCUCCUAGGUAUUACCUGAUGAUUUCCAUGCUAGCCUGAUGUGAACCAGGGCAACAUAAAGAAAAAAAAAAAAGACAGACGUUUGAUUAAGACUUAUAAAAUGGCAUUUAAAAGACACAGAGAUGCGGCACGCACUUAGGGACAUGAUUUAGUGGCAGACAUGGCAGUGCUAAGUUAAUGGAUGGACUCAAUGAUCUUAAGGGUCUUUUCCAACUUCAGUGAUUCUAUGAUUCUGAAUGAUUCUGUGAUUCUACUGACAGUCAACACGAUACUUUGGAAUACAGGUCUUGUCAGACAAACACGUUUUCAUUCUCUGAUGAGAUUACAAGUUUGGUUGAUAAAGUUAACUUCAUAGCUGUAAUAGACUUAGGCUUUUAUAAGGCACUUGGCUUAGCACCACAGGGCAUUCUCAUUAAAAAAUUAGCACUAUGCAGUAUCAAUAAAGCACACUUUCAAUUGAUUAGUAACUGGCUAGAUGACAGAUCUCAAAGUAGCUAUCAAUGGUGAAUCAUCCCUGAAGGAGGAGUUUUCUAGUGGAAAUCCACGGGGUCAGUGAAAGAAACAGAUGCCACUCAACAUUUUUAUCAAUUUUUAGUAAGUAAUUUCUUUUUUCUUUUAAAUUGCUGCAGCUAAGAUGUAUGGAUGGCAAAGAGGAUCAGGAUGGUGUAAAACAGUAGGGAUAGGGCAGCCGCACACACUCUGGACCACUUGCUUACACUUGCAGUAAUGUAUCUAUAGCCAAGGAAUGUGUCUAUGGAACUGCAACUUUAUCGAGUCAAGCAGUCAGGUGGAAGAAGACCUGGGGGGUCACAGCACACGGCUCAACAAAGACCAGUAUCUAGAAGGUGAACUCAGGCAAAGUGACAUUAAAAAUAUGGUGCCAAGGAA